GGGCCCGUAGCUCAGCCCGGUAGAGCGGCGGGCUUUUAACCCGUAGGUCCCGGGUUCAAAUCCCGGCGGGCCCG
Molecule: transfer RNA, 74 nt
Filed under: Staphylothermus hellenicus DSM 12710
Lineage: Archaea; Thermoproteati; Thermoproteota; Thermoprotei; Desulfurococcales; Desulfurococcaceae
Also listed under: 2 other names
Description: tRNA-Lys (TTT) (tRNA-Lys-TTT-1-1)
Rfam family: tRNA
About the family: Transfer RNA (tRNA) molecules are approximately 80 nucleotides in length. Their secondary structure includes four short double-helical elements and three loops (D, anti-codon, and T loops).
Source: RNAcentral